AGUGAACGCUGGCGGUAGGCCUAACACAUGCAAGUCGAACGGCAGCACAGUAAGAGCUUGCUCUUACGGGUGGCGAGUGGCGGACGGGUGAGUAAUACAUCGGAAUCUACUUUUUCGUGGGGGAUAACGUAGGGAAACUUACGCUAAUACCGCAUACGACCUACGGGUGAAAGCAGGGGAUCUUCGGACCUUGCGCUAUUGAAUGAGCCGAUGUCGGAUUAGCUAGUUGGCGGGGUAAAGGCCCACCAAGGCGACGAUCCGUAGCUGGUCUGAGAGGAUGAUCAGCCACACUGGAACUGAGACACGGUCCAGACUCCUACGGGAGGCAGCAGUGGGGAAUAUUGGACAAUGGACGAAAGCCUGAUCCAGCCAUACCGCGUGGGUGAAGAAGGCCUUCGGGUUGUAAAGCCCUUUUGUUGGGAAAGAAAAGCAGCAGGUUAAUCCCCCGCUGUUCUGACGGUACCCAAAGAAUAAGCACCGGCUAACUUCGUG
This 492-nucleotide ribosomal RNA is filed under the name uncultured bacterium. RNAcentral describes it as "partial 16S ribosomal RNA". It matches the Rfam family "Bacterial small subunit ribosomal RNA", at positions 29 to 507 of the family's 1533-position model. The record is from RNAcentral.